Molecule: ribosomal RNA, 497 nt
Filed under: uncultured bacterium
Lineage: Bacteria
Description: partial 16S ribosomal RNA
Rfam family: Bacterial small subunit ribosomal RNA
Source: RNAcentral
GAUGAACGCUGGCGGCGUGCCUAAUACAUGCAAGUCGAGCGAACAGACGAGGAGCUUGCUCCUCUGACGUUAGCGGCGGACGGGUGAGUAACACGUGGAUAACCUACCUAUAAGACUGGGAUAACUUCGGGAAACCGGAGCUAAUACCGGAUAAUAUAUUGAACCGCAUGGUUCAAUAGUGAAAGACGGUUUUGCUGUCACUUAUAGAUGGAUCCGCGCCGCAUUAGCUAGUUGGUAAGGUAACGGCUUACCAAGGCAACGAUGCGUAGCCGACCUGAGAGGGUGAACGGCCACACUGGAACUGAGACACGGUCCAGACUCCUACGGGAGGCAGCAGUAGGGAAUCUUCCGCAAUGGGCGAAAGCUUGACGGAGCAACGCGGCGUGAGUGAUGAAGGUCUUCGGAUCGUAAAACUCUGUUAUUAGGGAAAAACAAAUGUGUAAGUAACUAUGCACGUCUUGACGGUACCUAAUCAGAAAGCCACGGCUAACUACGUG